This 2841-nucleotide long non-coding RNA is filed under the name Homo sapiens (human). Its description in RNAcentral is "HSALNT0057747". The record is from RNAcentral. Lineage: Eukaryota; Metazoa; Chordata; Mammalia; Primates; Hominidae.
CUUUUUAAAUUCUCGGCAUAGUGUAAUGAUUACUAUUCCAAAACAGAAGAUAUGUUGGCAAACUGCCCUGUAUUUGAAAAUAGAGGAAAUGCCCUGGAAAGAAUGAGAUGUGGUAAAGAGAGGAAAUGACAAUGUACUGAAAAGACUGGGCUGUAAGUCAUCACAGCGGCGCCCUGAAACCCGAUAUGUCAGGCAAGCUGGUGGGAUCCUGGGAUCCCUCAUGUAACGGCACUCAUUCUGACAGAAGCAGAGAUAAAACAGACUAAGUACACAGAGGAGUUUAAGGUUUCGUGAAUGUAAGUGCUGAGUACAGAAUGGUGCUCAAUAAAAGCUUGUUAAUUGAUGGACCACAGGUUUGUGACAAGACUUCUCAGAGUCUGAUUCUUUCAAGGUGGGAUAUAAGAGUAAGAUACCUUGACUAUGAAUAAUAGUUUCAAUAAGGAAGACAGAAUGAGUUCUGACACGAUGGUUGGGAGCUGUGACAGGCAGACGAAAAAUGGAGCCAAAUGGCAUGGAGGUGUCAUGAUGUUGGAACAGUAACAAUAACUCAACCAACCAGGGCUUGUCUGAAUACAAUCCUACAGCAGCAGGAGCUGUGGAGAUAUAGAAGGCAAGGAAGACCAGGUUGUGAGGGAAGACGAAUUUACUCCCAGGAAUGUUGGGAUUGAGAGUAAUAUUCUCCAAUAAUGGUGGAAGACAGAACAAUAAAAGCCCACCAGCUCCUUCUGCAUGGUGGGAUAAGAGAAAAGCCAAGGGCAGAAGUGAGAAAAAUAACCAUCACCAAACUGAAAAGAAAACCUUUAUAAAAAAACUGGAUUGAUAAAUGACCUUUAGUAGUGGAAAGAUACCAUUCCAAUGAAGCAUGAAUUGAAAGGAUUUCUUCUGAAAGCUAAUUUACAUUUUUCUUUUUUUUUUUUUCAUUUUCAGUGUGUUUUAGCAGGUGUAUUGUUCUACAUGGUUAGUUUCUUUACCUCUUUGAGAAAAAUGGGUCAGCUUGACACAUCUGGAUGAAAGAAUCCGUUAGGUGAUUAUGAUUGAAGACAGAUUAAGCCUUGUUAUGAGGGGAAUAUUUGGGGGCUUACCCUGAGGUGAUAUUUGAUGAUUUAGCUGUGGGAGAAUUUCCCUCCCAAGAUCAGCGUGACUGACACUGAAAUUGCUACAGGGGAACCGGACCUUUCCAAGAGGUGACAAGGACAUUUACCUGGUACAACACAAUGGUUCUGGACUGGAAGUCUAGUCCCAUUGAUGAAGUUCCCAAAAGAUGUCCAGGUCCUAAUCCCUGGAAUCUGUGAAUAUGUCAUCUUACACAUCAAAAGAACUUUGAAAAUGUGAUUGAGGUUAAGGACCUUGGAAUGAGGAGAUUACCUUGGAUUAUCUGGUUGGGUCCAAGCUAAUCACAUGAGUCCUUAAAGGAGAAGAACCUUUUUUAGCUGGGUCAGAGAGAGAUGUGAUGAUGAAAACAGGCUCAGGGAGAUGCACUGUAAGAAGGGCUUGACCAGUUGUUUUUGACUUUGAAGAUGGAGGGAAGGGCCAGGAGCCAAGGAAGGUGGGUGGCUUUUGGAAGGUGGAAAAAGCAAGGGAACAUUCUCUCCAGAGCCUCCAGAAAGGAGCUCAGCCCUGUUGACAUCUGGCUUCCUACUGACAUCUUAACUUUAGUGCAGUGAGACUCAUAUUUGAAUUUCUGACCUUAUAUUAUAGAACCAUAAGACAUUAUAGAAUUAUAUAGAAUUAUAGAACCAUAAGACAAUAACUUUGUGUUGUUUUAAGAUACUAAAUUUUUGGUAAUUUGUUAUGGCAGCACAAUAAAACCAAUAUAGCAUUAUAUUAUGCCAAUAUCAUCUCUUUGUUGACUAUUGCUAUUAUAGUUUGUUUUAUGGGUCUUGUGUAAACAAUCAAGCUAUAAUAUUGGGUUAACUCCCUAAGGAAAACUUGGAAUAUAGAACAUUAUUUUAAAGACUGAAUUAGGUAAAUACACCUGCCAGUGAAUACAUUAACAAAUUAAUUAAUAUAUUCACUCUUUUCACUCACAAAUACUUUUUGAGCCCCUAUUACUAGCCAAACAUUUUGUUAGAUUCUGAGAAGGGUCUGCUAGACAACAUUGUGACUAUAGUUAAUAACAAUAUAUUGUACUCUUGAAAAUUACUAAGAGAGUAGAUUUUAAGUGUUCUCACCACAAAAAAUAAGUAUGUGAGGUAAUGCAGAUGUUAGUUAGCUUGAUUUAGCCAUUCCCCAGUGUAUACAUAUUUCAAACCUUCAUAUUAUACAUGGAUAAAUAUAUACAAUUUUUAUUUGUCAAUUAAAAGCCCCUCGAUGAAUACAGUUUCCAUUCUGUCCUUGAGGUGGAGCUUGUAGACUUGGUGGGGUCCGGGGAUCAACUUUUAAACAGGCAGUUCCAAAGUGUGGAGUGGAUAGGCUUAUUCUCUUUGUUGCUUUUAUGAUAGGUAUUUAGAAUGCACUUUCCUCUGUUAAGUUAAGCCAGCCACCAUUCCCUCAUUCAGUUUCCAUCCUCCAUGAAUUUGCUCACAUCUGCGGUCUACUGUCACUCAUUCUUUCCUUCUCUUCCUGAGGGCUUGUGUGACUUAUGUUCUUGGCUUUCUCUUAGGAACAUGGUGCAGCUUGGCCCUGCAUUAUCCAUCUGGAAAAACAGAUCAUAAAACAGUCCUUCUCUGUACUAAGUGCUAAAGUAGGAGGAAGGGCAUAAGUCAGCUCCCUGAGCUAUAUAUCCUUGUUUUCAGGAGCUGAGCUAGACACAAGCAGAACUUGCAAAUAAUUUACAUUUCUUUCUGCUGAGGUGGUUCAGAAUAAGUUGCAACAAACAUGAACAGGAAUGGUGCAGUAAAU